RNAcentral lists this transfer RNA (58 nucleotides) under Zootermopsis nevadensis. It matches the Rfam family "tRNA", at positions 8 to 63 of the family's 71-position model. Rfam says of the family: Transfer RNA (tRNA) molecules are approximately 80 nucleotides in length. Their secondary structure includes four short double-helical elements and three loops (D, anti-codon, and T loops). Lineage: Eukaryota; Metazoa; Arthropoda; Insecta; Blattodea; Termopsidae. The record is from Rfam by way of RNAcentral.
UGGUCUAGCGGUCAGAACGCUGGGCUUGUAAACCUGGGGUCCCGGGUUCGAUUCCCGG